This 236-nucleotide ribosomal RNA is filed under the name uncultured bacterium. Its description in RNAcentral is "partial 16S ribosomal RNA". It matches the Rfam family "Bacterial small subunit ribosomal RNA", at positions 15 to 240 of the family's 1533-position model. The record is from RNAcentral.
GAUCCUGGCUCAGGAUGAACGCUGGCGGCGUGCCUAAUACAUGCAAGUCGAGCGAACAGACGAGGAGCUUGCUCCUCUGACGUUAGCGGCGGACGGGUGAGUAACACGUGGAUAACCUACCUAUAAGACUGGGAUAACUUCGGGAAACCGGAGCUAAUACCGGAUAACAUGUUGAACCGCAUGGUUCAACAGUGAAAGACGGUCUUGCUGUCGCUUAUAGAUGGAUCCGCGCCGCA